UUGGAUGUCUUCAGAAAUAAACAGGAUUUCUGUUUUUUGUCUUCUUGAUAUGGGGUUUACAUUUAGAGGGGGAAAAUAUCCCCUCCUAGUUUAAGGAAACAAAUGAAGUCUUUCUGGUUUGAAUAUUUAUUUUAAUGAGCAGAAAGCCCAUUUGGAUGAAAAAGGUGAAGAAAAAGCAAGUUUACACUGCCCUGAUGUGGCUCUGUGAUCACGUCUGUCUCCUCCAGCACUAAUUUUCUUUGAUUCUAACUCAUCUGUAUGACCAGACAUCUUCGAAUCAUUUAUCUAUGACCAGUCAUCUUUGGAAAUACUAGGUGAACUGUCGGCUUUCCAUCAGUCUGCAUCCUUAGGCAUGCUAUAGAGCAAAACCUCCUUACUGAGAAGAUGCCUUAAACAUCUGGAAACAGUAACAAGAAGCACAGACCUUGAAUAUUUCCGUGAAAUUCUACCGUGAUAGGGAAAUAGAUGCUUUCCCAUCAGACACACAUUUCCAGAAAAGUGAUAAUGUGAUUUUCAUACUUACAAUUUGAGAUCUGGUUAUUCUGAUGUGAAGACCACUAUGGACUUUGGACUCUUUCUGGAAUUAUUUGUGGGAGUGAAAUUGAAGUGGUGCAAGUGUUAGGAAAUUUUUCUCAUCAAGAAGGAAGGUGACGAAGAUACCUCUCCCAACCCUACCUGUUAACAUUAUCACCUUCCGCGGGGUUAGGAUUUCAAAAUGAAUGUGGGGAAAACACAUUUAUGUCAUAGCGCCCAGGAAGGUGGCCUGGAAUCACUUUGGAAGACUUGGGAUAACUUCAUCGAUUCUCAUGGCUUCAGUCCUUUAGAUCCUGGUGCACCCAAGUAAUCACAGUGCAGAAGAGUUUCAGGAAUUUGGACCUGGGAUUGGUUGGCUCUGUUUUGCAGCACACAGGUUCUGAUUUGUAAUAGGGAUCUUGGAAAAUAUUCAGACAUCUGUUGGAAGGGAAGAACUGAGCCAGGAUAACUGCUGGAAAGCAAUUGACUUUUUGACAACAAAGACUGGUUGUCUUUGCCUCCACAUAUGCAACCCUGUGAAAAACGCAGAGAGAGGAAUAAUGAAUGGUAUCUGAACAUUAUUUGAGCACCCCAGCAAUCAAUAAAGUGGAUGCGGUUUUAAAAAAGAAAGAGAAGACAAGAAAAAGAAACUCGAAAUGAAGAAAUCAAAGGUGCAGCUUUCUGAACUAGCCCAUAAGAGUUGGAACUGCACCUUCACACUCAACCCAGUUGUGUGUCACAUGUGUACCCUUGGCUGUGGGUGACAAGUGAGGUGCUGAUGAGAUGAUAGUGAACAGACAUCAUGAAGAUUUUACAGUCAGCUGGGGGAUGGGAACAAGCACAGAGUUACAGCUGAAAUUGAUGCACAUGGAAGAACUGAUAGACUAUUGCUUCUGUGAAAAUGACUAUUUUCAAUCACUUGUUUUACAAAUACUACUAAUUUGAGCCCUACGGGUUUUGCAAAAAUGCAAUAAGUCUUACUACAAUUUAAUUUUAUGUUGCAGGAAAUAUUUUGUAAUCCAAAGUCAUAUAUUCUAAUUACAGGAAGUCAUAAAUAAGCAAAAUAAAACUGUGCACGAGUAUUUAUAAUGUGCCUAAUAAAUAUCAAGUAUUGUUCUGUGUAUUACCAUUAAAUUUCUUGUCCUCUCUGUGCCAGACAAUGAGAAUUGGUUAUCCCCAAAUAUAUGUAAAAUGACAUUUUGAUUGAAAGUCAAUAUUAAUAAUCACAUCAUUUUUUUAACAGUGAUGAUUUUGGGGGCAAGUAAAGGUCAUCUGAAACUCUUCAUGGAUCAUACACAUCACCCAUUCUUUCAUAAUUAUAUCUUAUUUUUUCUCUUAAUUUCCCCUAAUAUUCAGGUAAUUUUUCUGCUUCAUCAUCUUAGCAAUUGUAAAAUAUUAACAUCUUUAAUGGGAUUAAUUCCACCAGAUGAAACAAUUUAUUGCUGUGACUUUGAGGAGAAGCUGAAAAGUUGGGCGAGUUUCCUCAGCUAUUUCAGAGACAUAUUUAAGCAGCUGAUCUGAAGAUGAACUUCUGGCACUUGAGUCACACUACUGUGAUCUGUAUUUCAGUGACCAUUGUUCUAUGAAUUGGCACAUUCCUGAUGACUAAAAAAAUUGAAUAACAGGUUCAAUAAACUGUACUUUUUAUUAGCUUUAAUUGUAUGAACUGUCAGUAUCAACAUUUGACUCCCAUCUUUUAAUUUUAGGUGACUUAAGGAUACAUGAUCGUUGGCCAGAAAAACCAUAUUCACGUCUAACCCAUUACCACUGUCUUAGUAGAGAAAAUGAGUUAUUA
This is a long non-coding RNA of Cavia porcellus (domestic guinea pig), 2308 nucleotides long. RefSeq lists it as uncharacterized. NCBI's taxonomy places the organism in Eukaryota, Metazoa, Chordata, Mammalia, Rodentia, Caviidae. The record is from RefSeq and is a predicted model, not a curated record. The transcript has 9 exons.